Molecule: ribosomal RNA, 406 nt
Filed under: uncultured bacterium
Lineage: Bacteria
Description: partial 16S ribosomal RNA
Rfam family: Bacterial small subunit ribosomal RNA
Source: RNAcentral
AUUGAACGCUGGCGGCAGGCCUAACACAUGCAAGUCGAACGAUUGGCGGACGGGUGAGUAAUGUCUGGGAAACUGCCUGAUGGAGGGGGAUAACUACUGGAAACGGUAGCUAAUACCGCAUACCAUCGGAUGUGCCCAGAUGGGAUUAGCUAGUAGGUGGGGUAAAGGCUCACCUAGGCGACGAACCCUAGCUGGUCUGAGAGGAUGACCAGCCACACUGUAACUGAUACACGGUCCAGAAUCCUACGUGAGGCAUCAGGGGGGAAUAUUGCACAAUGGGAGCAAGCCUGAUGCAGCCAUGCCGAGUGUAUGAAGAAGGCCUUCGGGUUGUAAAGUACUUUCAGCGGGGAGGCGUUACCCGAAGAAGAAGCACCGGCUAACGCCGUGCCAGCAGCCGCGGUAAUAC